Molecule: long non-coding RNA, 1302 nt
Organism: Hypanus sabinus (Atlantic stingray)
Lineage: Eukaryota; Metazoa; Chordata; Chondrichthyes; Myliobatiformes; Dasyatidae
Exons: 3
Source: RefSeq, a predicted model, not a curated record
CUUUUCCCCUUACCCAAUAGGCUUGGAUGCCAUGUAACCACCAUGGAGGCUGGGUCGAAGACAAGCAAAUAGUGGUGGAAUCGAUCUGAAGUUCAAGCUCUAUGAGGUAAAUGCAGGUAAGGGAUUGAGGAGAAGAGGCAGCUUGCUGCCUGCUGAAAUGGACCAGAGGUAUCUGCUAUACUUUGAAGGAAAUCACAAGGACAUCUGCGGAUGCUGGAAAUUCAAGCAACACACACAAAAUGCUGGUGGAACGCAGCGGGCUGGGCAGCAUCUAUAGGGAGAAGUGCUGUCGAUGUUUCGGGCCGAAACCCUUCGUCCUGUAUUCUGAACAGGGGAGGGGGGGAGGACGUCACGUGAUGACGUAGGAUCGAGACGUGGAAAUCCAGCUCACCCGUAAAAAAACUGUAAAAUAAUGUUUAAGUGAAGAAAAGUUAGUAAAUACCUUUUAAAAAUUACUUACAAACUACUCAGGAUUGUCUUAAGUUUUGCCUCCUAAACAGAAGCAGAAGAAUACUACAGCUUUGAAGACAACACAAGUUGGAAAAGAAUUAAGGUCGGCCAGCAUGAAAGAACCUCGGGCUCAAGUGCAAUUUACCUCCGGCGAUACAGAACAGGAAACUGCGGCAACAUCAACCAUUUCAAGAAAAAAAAGAGCAACAGGAAUUGCGCAUGUGUGAAGGAAGGGGCACGCGCAAACACGAGCAACCCAAACUACAAAUCCCAGCUAUGAUCGGAACUGAAAGUGAAAGUGAAUAUGAGGUGGAAUCAGAUUCUCUGGAUAAAUCAGAUGAAGAUGAAGAGACAAACAAAGAAGAGCAAAAGGAAGAGGUUGGAGGUGAUAUUGAAAACAUAAAAAAAAACUUUGGUGCAAAUAAUGCAUGAAUUAAAAGCAUUAAAAGUAAUAAAAAGUAUUCUUUUUACUUUUUUCCCAGGCAACUCUUAGGUUUUUUCUGAUCUCAUAUCCGUUCCUUUAUUUUUUGCUUCUCUAACGUAAAUCAUCCCUGUCUUUGUUUCAACUCACACAUAUACGAUUUCCUAAUUUGUCUCUUUGCUAAUCUCUCUUUUACCACCUGUAACAAUGUAACACACAAAAUAAAUCUAUCAAAUAAAAUUCCAUGCACUCAACAUUCCUGUUUUCAGUGGUUCCCUUUGUAGAAAAAUGUCACUUUUACAAUUCCCAUCCCUGUUUUGGGAUUCCUUUAGGACCUCAAUUCUCCCUAUCACUGAAACAUUGAGACAUCUUUGACAGCUUCGCACUCGAUCAGUUUCAGCCACUUGCGUGUCUCCCAUUUUCAUUUUUCA